CCUACGGGAGGCAGCAGUGGGGAAUAUUGGGCAAUGGGCGCAAGCCUGACCCAGCAACGCCGCGUGAAGGAAGAAGGCUCUCGGGUUGUAAACUUCUUUUAUCAGGGACGAAGCAAGUGACGGUACCUGAUGAAUAAGCCACGGCUAACUACGUGCAAGCAGCCGCGGUACUACGAAGGGGGCAAGCGUUAUCCGGAUUUACUGGGUGUAAAGGGCGAGUAGGCGGGAAAGCAAGUCAGAUGUGAAAACCAUGGGCGCAACCUGUGGCCUGCAUUUGAAACUGUUUGUCGUGAGUACGGUAGAGGCAGACGGAAUUUCUAGUGUAGCGGUGAAAUGCGUAGAUAUUAGGAGGAACACCAGUGGCGAAGGCGAUCUCCUGGACAGAUACUGACGCUGAGGCGCGAAAGCGUGGGGAGCAAACAGGAUUAGAUACCCUUGUAGUC
RNAcentral lists this ribosomal RNA (443 nucleotides) under uncultured bacterium. RNAcentral describes it as "partial 16S ribosomal RNA". It matches the Rfam family "Bacterial small subunit ribosomal RNA", at positions 338 to 795 of the family's 1533-position model. The record is from RNAcentral.